GACGCGCGGUGGCCGAACGGUAAAGCGCUUUGCUUUCGAACUGGGGUCGGUAGUUCGAAACCUGGUGAAGACUGGGAUUUUUAUUUUCGGGAUCUUCUGAGUCCACCCAGCUAAAAUGGGUACCUGCCAUUAGUUGAGGAAAAGGCGGUUGGUUGUUGUGCUGGCCACAUGACACCCUCGUUAACCGUUAAUCUUUCAUAUUGACCACAAGGUUUCUUGAACUAGUGCACUCAACAUGACCAGCGAGUAUGAUGACAUUGACAUGGACAGUGAUAUCAUUGAAAGUGGUAGUAGUGUCUCUCUCCAACAAGAUACGCAAAGUCUUUUUGAUGUAUUCGUGAAAACUCUGGAUGGUAAAACUGUGACCGUACAAGUUGGAGAGCAUGAAGAAGUCACGAGCUUCAGGAAGAAAGUUCAGGAGAAGACAAACGUGGAAGCAAGUCAGCAGUAUCUUAUUUCAGCAGAAGGGAAGAAACUGCAAGACGGGGAACUACUCAGCAAAUACAAUAUUAAGAAACAUUUUACCAUUUACUGUCAGUGGAGACUCGGGGGAGGCUGACAACUUAAUAUCAAUUGUAUUUAAUAUUUUUUAAAAUAAUUAAUAAAAUAAAUUAAUCCAUUUAUAUUUAAAACAUAAAAUAAUAAUCUGUUGCUACGAAAACAUUUACAAUAAUAAUCAACAGCAAUAAAAUCGUAUACUCUUAUAUAUAUAUAAGAAUAAGAACACGCUUCAUAUAUCAUUACACAUACAGCGUAGUUGAUUAUGAAUAACAACCGGCCGAAAAUGGCUCUGAGUCAGUUUAGCAGAUAUAGUCGAAUGCUAUGAUGACAGAAUAUAUGCUUUCCACGGAUUUAUCAUAAGGUCCUUUCCUGUAACGUUUGGCUGGAAAGAUUGCAACAUUUUCCAUAUUUUUAGCCAAUUCCUUUUCAGUAACAAGAAUUUGAACUUUCAACUCUCACAGUUUCCUAAGCCAUGUGAACAAGUGGUACGUAUCUAUUGCAGUGCUCAAAUCUACUGUCCGCAGUCUUUGAUAAGUUACACUACGAAAUUAUGAUGGCCAGAUUCUGUGCCACUUUUGGUUUAGUUGGCUUGGAUCCUAUCUGACUGAACGCACCCAAAGUGUCGUUGUCAACGGGACAUAAUCAACAAGCUUACUCUUGAAGUACGGAGUACCACAGGGAUCAGUUCUAGGCACAGUUCUGUUCACUAUAUAUACAUAUCCACUCAGCGGUGUCAUACGACCAACCGGCAUCUUAUACCAUUUCUUUGCCGAUGACUCACAGUUAUACGAUUCCUCAUUACCCUCAGAGGUGUCGCAUCUGGCAGAGAAAAUCAGUGGUAUAGUUGCAAGGGUGAGCGAUUGGAUGGUUGAGAAUAAGCUCAAGAUGAACGAAGACAAGACAGAAAUAAUUAAGAUUGGCACUCGGAACAACGUCUCAAAAGUCGAAAGCACAGAUUCUCUUUUUAUCAACAACUGCCAGGUUCCUUAUGUUCCAUGUAUUGCGGAAUCUUGGAGUUUAUUUCGACUCAACACUAUCUUUCGACCCGCACAUAAGUCAGCAAGGGUCUUUAUCUGCAGCUGCGCAGAUUAGAGACCAGAUCCGACCAUAUUUAACAACGGAGUCAACAAAAACGCUAGCUGUGGCAUUCAUACUCUCCUGCCUUGACUACUGCAACGCCAUGCUGGCAGGUAUACCCGAUGACAAAAUAGCCAAGCUGCAACGUAUACAGAACAACGCCGCACGAAUAGUCCUUAGAAAAACAAGACGUGAUUAUGCUACCACGCUUUUGCAAACGCUCCAUUGGCUUCCCGUGAAAGCGAGAAUCGAUUACAAAGUGGCCACACUUGUCAUCAGUGUAUAUAUAACAAUGAGAUGCCUUUUUGUACCUCAGCGAACUUACUCCAUAUGUCCCUAACAGAACCCUGAGCUCAAUGGACACAUCACUUCUUGUGGUGUCACGUUUCUCCCUCAAAAGCUAUGGUCUGUGGGCAUUUCCCAAAGGUUUGUAACUCACUCACCAAUGAUCUUAGACAGAUAACAUGCUACACUACUUUCAAGAAGAACAUUGAGACCUACCUGUUUAAAACUAUUUUGUAUUAGUUUGUUAUUUCAGCUCUCGUGUUUGUGUUUGUAAUGUUAUUACAGCGCCUUGAGCCUACAUUUUGUUUGUUAAUAGCGCUUUAGAAAUAAAAUUAUUAUUACUA
Molecule: long non-coding RNA, 2207 nt
Organism: Biomphalaria glabrata
Lineage: Eukaryota; Metazoa; Mollusca; Gastropoda; Planorbidae
Exons: 3
Source: RefSeq, a predicted model, not a curated record